GGGUCAGUAGGUUGGUCGUGCCACCGGUACGUACUGGUCUCACUGAUUCCUCCUUCCUGAAGAACCGUAAUGCCGUUAAUUUGGUGUUGCGGGGAAACAGGACUGUUACUUUGAAAAAAUUAGAGUGUUUAAAGCAAGCUAACGCUUGAAUACAUUAGCAUGGGAUAAUGAAAUAGGACGAUCGAUCCUAUUUUGUUGGUUUCUAGGAUUGACGUA
This 216-nucleotide ribosomal RNA is filed under the name Glomeromycotina sp. RNAcentral describes it as "partial small subunit ribosomal RNA". The stretch from base 40 to 216 matches the Rfam family "Eukaryotic small subunit ribosomal RNA", at positions 686 to 864 of the family's 1831-position model. The record is from RNAcentral. Lineage: Eukaryota; Fungi; Glomeromycota.